This 455-nucleotide ribosomal RNA is filed under the name uncultured bacterium. RNAcentral's name for it is "bacterial SSU rRNA". It matches the Rfam family "Bacterial small subunit ribosomal RNA", at positions 28 to 480 of the family's 1533-position model. The record is from RNAcentral.
GACGAACGCUGGCGGCAUGCUUAACACAUGCAAGUCGAACGAGAAUCUGUGGAUCAAGGAUUCGUCCAAGUGAAGCGGAGGACAGUGGCGGACGGGUGAGUAACGCGUGAGAACCUGCCUUUCAGAGGGGGACAAACAGUUGGAAACGACUGCUAAUACCGCAUAACGCGUAGAGGUCGCAUGGCCUUUACGCCAAAGAUUAUCGCUGAAAGAUGGCCUCGCGUCUGAUUAGCUAGUUGGUGAGGUAACGGCCCACCAAGGCGACGAUCAGUAGCCGGACUGAGAGGUUGAACGGCCACAUGGGACUGAGAUACGGCCCAGACUCCUACGGGGGGCAGCAGUGGGGAAUAUUGGGCAAUGGGCGCAAGCCUGACCCAGCAAUGCCGCGUGAAGGAGAAGGCUUCGGUUGGUAAACGUUACUUUUGUUCAGGGACGAAGUAGGAAGAACGGUACCU